CACAAAGCAUGGUGGUGAUCGUGCAUCUUCUGCAGGAGAACCCUGGUCUAGACCCUUGGCCAUCCUCACGGGCAAAGGAGGCUUUAGCAUUCUUAUCCUCAUUUUACAGAAGACACUAGGAAGCAAGAAAUCAAGUGAGUGGUGACAAUCAAGCCAAGUUAACUGGAGCAGUAGGGUGAUAUGCUGGAUAGUCUCCUGUCAGUUGGGCAUCUUCCUCAGCCUCUUCAAAGGCAAAAACUACAUUUCCCAGAAUCCCAUUCCUCGUAGAGUUCCAGGUUGGAAUGUGUGAAUGAAAGACACUGAAGAUUUAGAAGGCAGAAGAAGCGGAGGCCAUUAUUUUCCAGAGUCAGUUGCAGACAGGUGUGCGGGCAUCAAAGCUGCUUCCUGGUGAACUUCUUGAGGAGCUCCUGCAUCUGUGUUGCCAACUGAGAUAGCUGGUGCAAGGGUGGACUAUCCCUGAAGCAAUGAAGUUUAAAUUCCUGGACCUUUUCUAAGCCUCUGGGAGUGGCCCUAGCAAUUUUGUAAUUUAUUAUUUUUUUGAAAGAGGGUCUCUAAAUCGUAUUAGCUUUAAGUGUCACAAAACCUAGAUUUAGCCCUAAAUGGCAGAGAGCUUCCCAGAGAUCUUGUGAUCCAGUGGCUUCAGGAGAACUGAGAACCACUGGCUUAGGGACUGGAGUCUGAGAUAUUCAGUGAAGCCCCUCAGACUUUCCCUCCCUCAGCCCUUCCAACAGUUGUAGAAGCUUUCACGUCCUUCAUACCAGGAAUACAGUGGCUUUUGUUUUUCUGACCAAACAGUAAUUGCUUUAAAAUGAUUGUUAUCAGCAAGUAGAUUAUAACUCUUUUUUGGUCUCAAUCUCAAAUUUAAGAAAAUUUUUUUUCAGUAGAAAUGAUAGUGAAAAAAAAUUUAACAUUGCAUCAAGAAAAACUUAGAGCAAGUUCCAUCUUGACCGACAUUGGAUACUCAUAAUGUUGCACAUUGGCACACAGUGUGUGUUUAGUAAAUAUGUGGGUGAGUGCAUGAAUUAAUGAGUGAGUGAAGGAACAGAUGAAUUUAUGUGCAUCUGUACCCAAGUUGCUUCCUAGUUAUGAUUAUUAAAACAACAUUGAUUAUGUUUGUUCUAAUUCUCUGUAGAUUUAUUUAGCACAGUACCAAGAACUCCCAGCUGCUCACUGCUUUUUUUGGAUGAAAAUGAGGAGUAGUUUUGGGAGCCAGUCCAGUGCAAAUUCUAGGAAACCCCAGAGUGCAUCUGUAAUUAGUUUAGGGUCUUCCAGAGGUUGGAGACCACACCUGUUAGUUAUGAAUUAUUUUCCAAGGAAGAAUAUAUUGAAAAGAAAAAACAGGAUUGACUAUUGGAUCAGUUUAAAGAGCUCAACCCCUCUCUCAUUUUUCUUUCUUGCAAUUCAAUUCUGAAUGGUAAAUAGCAAUGAUAAUCAUCUUUUGGAGAAGAAAGUCAAUUGCCAGUCUUCACCA
This is a non-coding RNA of Microcebus murinus (gray mouse lemur), 1471 nucleotides long. The record is from RefSeq and is a predicted model, not a curated record. Lineage: Eukaryota; Metazoa; Chordata; Mammalia; Primates; Cheirogaleidae.